AGUAGGGAAUAUUGGACAAUGGGGGCAACCCUGAUCCAGCCAUGCCGCGUGAGUGAAGAAGGCCCUCGGGUUGUAAAGCUCUUUUGUCCGGAAAGAAAAGCAAUCGGUUAAUACCCGGUUGUUCUGACGGUACCGGAAGAAUAAGCACCGGCUAACUUCGUGCCAGCAGCCGCGGUAAUACGAAGGGUGCAAGCGUUACUCGGAAUUACUGGGCGUAAAGCGUGCGUAGGUGGUUCGUUAAGUCUGAUGUGAAAGCCCUGGGCUCAACCUGGGAAUGGCAUUGGAUACUGGCGGGCUAGAGUGCGGUAGAGGGUAGUGGAAUUCCCGGUGUAGCAGUGAAAUGCGUAGAGAUCGGGAGGAACAUCUGUGGCGAAGGCGACUGCCUGGACCAGCACUGACACUGAGGCACGAAAGCGUGGGGAGCAAACAGGAUUAGAUACCCUGGUAGUCCACGCCCUAAACGAUGCGAACUGGAUGUUGGGUUCAACUUGGAACUCAGUAUCGAAGCUAACGCGUUAAGUUCGCCGCCUGGGGAGUA
RNAcentral lists this ribosomal RNA (538 nucleotides) under uncultured bacterium. Its description in RNAcentral is "bacterial SSU rRNA". It matches the Rfam family "Bacterial small subunit ribosomal RNA", at positions 353 to 882 of the family's 1533-position model. The record is from RNAcentral.